AUUGAACGCUGGCGGCAUGCCUUACACAUGCAAGUCGAACGGUAACAAGUCUUCGGAUGCUGACGAGUGGCGAACGGGUGAGUAAUACAUCGGAACGUGCCUAGUAGUGGGGGAUAACUACUCGAAAGAGUGGCUAAUACCGCAUGAGAUCUACGGAUGAAAGCAGGGGAUCGCAAGACCUUGUGCUACUAGAGCGGCCGAUGGCAGAUUAGGUAGUUGGUGGGAUAAAAGCUUACCAAGCCGACGAUCUGUAGCUGGUCUGAGAGGACGAUCAGCCACACUGGGACUGAGACACGGCCCAGACUCCUACGGGAGGCAGCAGUGGGGAAUUUUGGACAAUGGGCGCAAGCCUGAUCCAGCAAUGCCGCGUGCAGGAUGAAGGCCUUCGGGUUGUAAACUGCUUUUGUACGGAACGAAAAGCCCCGGGUUAAUACCCUGGGGUCACGACGGUACCGUAAGAAUAAGCACCGGCUAACUACGUGCCAGCAGCCGCCGUAA
RNAcentral lists this ribosomal RNA (498 nucleotides) under uncultured bacterium. RNAcentral's name for it is "partial 16S ribosomal RNA". It matches the Rfam family "Bacterial small subunit ribosomal RNA", at positions 30 to 523 of the family's 1533-position model. The record is from RNAcentral.